This 534-nucleotide ribosomal RNA is filed under the name uncultured archaeon. RNAcentral describes it as "bacterial SSU rRNA". It matches the Rfam family "Archaeal small subunit ribosomal RNA", at positions 465 to 997 of the family's 1478-position model. The record is from RNAcentral.
CCGCGGUAACACCGGCGGCCCGAGUGGUGAUCGUGAUUAUUGGGUCUAAAGGGUCCGUAGCCGGUUUGGUCAGUCCUCCGGGAAAUCUGAUAGCUCAACUAUUAGGCUUUCGGGGGAUACUGCCAGACUUGGAACCGGGAGAGGUAAGAGGUACUACAGGGGUAGGAGUGAAAUCUUGUAAUCCCUGUGGGACCACCUGUGGCGAAGGCGUCUUACCAGAACGGGUUCGACGGUGAGGGACGAAAGCUGGGGGCACGAACCGGAUUAGAUACCCGGGUAGUCCCAGCCGUAAACGAUGCUCGCUAGGUGUCAGGCAUGGCGCGACCGUGUCUGGUGCCGCAGGGAAGCCGUGAAGCGAGCCACCUGGGAAGUACGGCCGCAAGGCUGAAACUUAAAGGAAUUGGCGGGGGAGCACAACAACGGGUGGAAGCCUGCGGUUUAAUUGGACUCAACGCCGGACAACUCACCGGGGGCGACAGCAAUAUGUAGGCCAAGCUGAAGACUUUGCCUGAAUCGCUGAGAAGAGGUGCAUGG